RNAcentral lists this long non-coding RNA (347 nucleotides) under Actinidia chinensis (golden kiwifruit). RNAcentral describes it as "long non-coding RNA (ACHI_LNC000677)". The record is from RNAcentral. Lineage: Eukaryota; Viridiplantae; Streptophyta; Magnoliopsida; Ericales; Actinidiaceae.
UGGUUGAGUGUUACAGCUGCAGCUGCUGGAGAGGCAGCUAUUGUAGCUGCUGCAGAGGAAGAUGUGGAGAAUAGCAGCCAAAAUAGAAUUGGUAAUACAGGAAUGGGCAAUAUGAAGAGGAUUAAGAAAAGGCCAAGCUGGAUGAAGAUUAUGUGAUAUAGAGAUGAAGGGAAGGCGAAGGGAAGAGUUAGCUUGUUAAAGAAUUAGUUAGCAGAUUAAAUAAUUUGUUACAGCAGUGGAGGGAAAGUAGUUAUAGCAGUUAGGAAGUUCUUGAUUCUAAUAUGACUGUAUAUAAAUACACCAUUGUAACCCUAAUGAGGAUAUGAAAAUUCAGAUUGAAACUUUUC